This 253-nucleotide ribosomal RNA is filed under the name uncultured bacterium. RNAcentral describes it as "partial 16S ribosomal RNA". It matches the Rfam family "Bacterial small subunit ribosomal RNA", at positions 524 to 776 of the family's 1533-position model. The record is from RNAcentral.
UACGUAGGGUGCGAGCGUUAACCGGAAUUACUGGGCGUAAAGCGUGCGCAGGCGGUUCGUUGUGUCGGUGGUGAAAUCCCCGGGCUCAACCUGGGAACUGCAUUUGUGACUGCAUCGCUGGAGUGCGGCAGAGGGGGAUGGAAUUCCGCGUGUAGCAGUGAAAUGCGUAGAUAUGCGGAGGAACACCGAUGGCGAAGGCAAUCCCCUGGGCCUGCACUGACGCUCAUGCACGAAAGCGUGGGGAGCAAACAGG